This 598-nucleotide ribosomal RNA is filed under the name uncultured bacterium. RNAcentral's name for it is "bacterial SSU rRNA". It matches the Rfam family "Bacterial small subunit ribosomal RNA", at positions 202 to 800 of the family's 1533-position model. The record is from RNAcentral.
UAAAGAUUCAUCGCUGAUAGAUAGGCAUGCGUUCCAUUAGGCAGUGGGCGGGGUAACGGCCCACCAAACCGACGAUGGAUAGGGGUUCUGAGAGGAAGGUCCCCCACAUUGGUACUGAGACACGGACCAAACUCCUACGGGAGGCAGCAGUGAGGAAUAUUGGUCAAUGGGCGCGAGCCUGAACCAGCCAAGUCGCGUGAGGGAUGAAGGUUCUAUGGAUCGUAAACCUCUUUUAUAAGGGAAUAAAGUGUGGGACGUGUCCUAUUUUGUAUGUACCUUAUGAAUAAGGAUCGGCUAACUCCGUGCCAGCAGCCGCGGUAAUACGGAGGAUCCGAGCGUUAUCCGGAUUUAUUGGGUUUAAAGGGUGCGUAGGCGGCCUUUUAAGUCAGCGGUGAAAGUCUGUGGCUCAACCAUAGAAUUGCCGUUGAAACUGGGGGGCUUGAGUAUGUUUGAGGCAGGCGGAAUGCGUGGUGUAGCGGUGAAAUGCUUAGAUAUCACGCAGAACCCCGAUUGCGAAGGCAGCCUGCCAAGCCAUGACUGACGCUGAUGCACGAAAGCGUGGGGAUCAAACAGGAUUAGAUACCCUGGUAGUCCACGC